GUUAGGAAUAUUGGACAAUGGGCGCAAGCCUGAUCCAGCCACGCCGCGUGAGUGAUGAAGGCCUUCGGGUUGUAAAGCUCUUUAGUCCACGAAUAUAAUGACUGUAGUGGAAGAAUAAGCCCCGGCUAACUUCGUGCCAGCAGCCGCGGUAAUACGAAGGGGGCGAGCGUUAUUCGGAAUCACUGGGCGUAAAGCGUGCGUAGGCUGUUUUGUAAGUCAGAAGUGAAAGCCCAGGGCUUAACCCUGGAAUUGCUUUUGAAACUACAAGACUCGAAUUCGGGAGAGGAUAGCGGAAUUGUCAGUGUAGCAGUGAAAUGCGUAGAUAUUGACAGGAACACCAGUGGCGCAAGCGGCUAUCUGGACCGAUAUUGACGCUGAGGCACGAAAGCGUGGGGAGCAAACAGGAUUAGAAACCCGUGUAGUCC
This 425-nucleotide ribosomal RNA is filed under the name uncultured bacterium. Its description in RNAcentral is "partial 16S ribosomal RNA". It matches the Rfam family "Bacterial small subunit ribosomal RNA", at positions 354 to 796 of the family's 1533-position model. The record is from RNAcentral.